GACGAACGCUGGCGGCGUGCUUAACACAUGCAAGUCGAACGGGAAGGCCCUCACCUUGGUGGGGGUGCUCGAGUGGCGAACGGGUGAGUAACACGUGGGUGAUCUGCCCUGUACUUCGGGAUAAGCUUGGGAAACUGGGUCUAAUACCGGAUAGGACCAUGGUUUAGUGUCUCAUGGUGGAAAAAUUAUUGUUUUGGUGCAGGAUGAGCUCGCGGCCUAUCAGCUUGUUGGUGGGGUAAUGGCCUACCAAGGCGUCGACGGGUAGCCGGCCUGAGAGGGUGGACGGCCACAUUGGGACUGAGAUACGGCCCAGACUCCUACGGGAGGCAGCAGUGGGGAAUAUUGCACAAUGGGCGCAAGCCUGAUGCACCGACGCCGCGUGGGGGAUGACGGCCUUCGGGUUGUAAACUCCUUUCGUUAGGGACGAAGCCACACUUUUUUUGGGUGUGGUGACGGUACCUUUGUUAAGAAGCACCGGCUAACUACGUGCCAGCAGCCGCGGUAAUACGUAGGGUGCGAGCGUUGUCCGGAAUUACUGGGCGUAAAGAGCUCGUAAGUGGUUUGUUGCGUCGUCUGUGAAAUUCCGGGGCUUAACUUCGGGGUGGCAGGCGAUACGGGCAUAACUAGAGUGCUGUAGGGGAGACUGGAAUUCCUGGUGUAGCGGUGGAAUGCGCAGAUAUCAGGAGGAACACCGAUGGCGAAGGCAGGUCUCUGGGCAGUAACUGACGCUGAGGAGCGAAAGCAUGGGGAGCGAACAGGAUUAGAUACCCUGGUAGUCCAUGCUGUAAACGGUGGGCGUUAGGUGUGGGGACCGGUUUGGUUUCUGUGCCGUAGCUAACGCAUUAAGCGCCCCGCCUGGGGAGUACGGCCGCAAGGCUAAAACUCAAAGGAAUUGACGGGGGCCCGCACAAGCGGCGGAGCAUGUGGAUUAAUUCGAUGCAACGCGAAGAACCUUACCUGGGUUUGACAUGCACCAGACGGUUGUAGAGAUACGUACCUCCCUUUGUGGUUGGUGUGCAGGUGGUGCAUGGUUGUCGUCAGCUCGUGUCGUGAGAUGUUGGGUUAAGUCCCGCAACGAGCGCAACCCUUGUCUUAUGUUGCCAGCACGUUUGGGUGGGGACUCAUGAGAGACUGCCGGGGUUAACUCGGAGGAAGGUGGGGAUGACGUCAAAUCAUCAUGCCCUUUAUGCCCAGGGCUUCACACAUGCUACAAUGGUUAGUACAACGCGCGGCGAGCCUGUGAGGGUGAGCGAAUCGCUGAAAGCUAAUCUCAGUUCGGAUUGGGGUCUGCAACUCGACCCCAUGAAGUCGGAGUCGCUAGUAAUCGCAGAUCAGCAAUGCUGCGGUGAAUACGUUCCCGGGCCU
Molecule: ribosomal RNA, 1365 nt
Filed under: uncultured bacterium
Lineage: Bacteria
Description: bacterial SSU rRNA
Rfam family: Bacterial small subunit ribosomal RNA
Source: RNAcentral